GACGAACGCUGGCGGCGUGCCUAAUACAUGCAAGUAGAACGCUGAAGGAGGAGCUUGCUUCUCUGGAUGAGUUGCGAACGGGUGAGUAACGCGUAGGUAACCUGCCUGGUAGCGGGGGAUAACUAUUGGAAACGAUAGCUAAUACCGCAUAAUAGUAGAUGUUGCAUGACAUUUGCUUAAAAGGUGCAAUUGCAUCACUACCAGAUGGACCUGCGUUGUAUUAGCUAGUUGGUGGGGUAACGGCUCACCAAGGCGACGAUACAUAGACGAGCUGAGAGGGGGAUCGGCCACCCUGGGACUGGGGCACGGCCCAGACUCCUACCGGGAGCAGCAGUAGGGGAUCUUCGGCAAUGGGCGGAAGGCUGACCGAACAACGCCGCGGGGGGGAAAGAGGGUCUCGGAUCGGAAAGGUCUGUUGUAAGGGGAGAACGAGUGUGAGGGUGGAAAGUUCACGCUGUGACGGUAUCUAACCAGAAAGGGACGGCUAACUACGUG
RNAcentral lists this ribosomal RNA (495 nucleotides) under uncultured bacterium. RNAcentral describes it as "partial 16S ribosomal RNA". It matches the Rfam family "Bacterial small subunit ribosomal RNA", at positions 28 to 507 of the family's 1533-position model. The record is from RNAcentral.